RNAcentral lists this ribosomal RNA (295 nucleotides) under uncultured bacterium. RNAcentral's name for it is "partial 16S ribosomal RNA". It matches the Rfam family "Bacterial small subunit ribosomal RNA", at positions 775 to 1067 of the family's 1533-position model. The record is from RNAcentral.
GGAUUAGAUACCCUGGUAGUCCAUGCCGUAAACGAUGUGUGCUAGACGUUGGAAAUAUAUUUUUCAGUGUCGCAGCGAAAGCAUUAAGCACACCGCCUGGGGAGUACGACCGCAAGGUUAAAACUCAAAUGAAUUGACGGGGACCCGCACAAGCAGUGGAGCAUGUGGUUUAAUUCGAAGAUACGCGCAGAACCUUACCAACGCUUGACAUGUUCGUCGCGAAACUAAGAGAUUAGAGCUUUCGGUUCGGCCGGACGAAACACAGGUGCUGCAUGGCCGUCGUCAGCUCGUGUCG